RNAcentral lists this ribosomal RNA (465 nucleotides) under uncultured bacterium. RNAcentral describes it as "partial 16S ribosomal RNA". It matches the Rfam family "Bacterial small subunit ribosomal RNA", at positions 28 to 507 of the family's 1533-position model. The record is from RNAcentral.
GACGAACGCUGGCGGUGUGCUUAACACAUGCAAGUCGAACGGUAAGGCCCUUUCGGGGGUACACGAGUGGCGAACGGGUGAGUAACACGUGAGUAACCUGCCCUCAUCUCUGGGAUAACAGUCGGAAACGGUUGCUAAUACUGGAUAUGAGCCUGCAAGGCAUCUUGUGGGUUGGAAAGAUUUUUUGGUUGGGGAUGGACUCGCGGCCUAUCAGCUUGUUGGUGAGGUAGUGGCUCACCAAGGCUUCGACGGGUAGCCGGCCUGAGAGGGCGACCGGCCACAUUGGGACUGAGAUACGGCCCAAACUCCUACGGGAGGCAGCAGUGGGGAAUAUUGCACAAUGGACGGAAGUCUGAUGCAGCAACGCCGCGUGCGGGAUGACGGCCUUCGGGUUGUAAACCGCUUUCAAUUGUGACGAAGCUUUCUGUGACGGUAGCAGUAGAAGAAGCACCGGCUAACUACGUG